RNAcentral lists this ribosomal RNA (465 nucleotides) under Vreelandella stevensii. RNAcentral's name for it is "partial 16S ribosomal RNA". It matches the Rfam family "Bacterial small subunit ribosomal RNA", at positions 338 to 795 of the family's 1533-position model. Lineage: Bacteria; Pseudomonadati; Pseudomonadota; Gammaproteobacteria; Oceanospirillales; Halomonadaceae. The record is from RNAcentral.
CCUACGGGUGGCAGCAGUGGGGAAUAUUGGACAAUGGGGGCAACCCUGAUCCAGCCAUGCCGCGUGUGUGAAGAAGGCCCUCGGGUUGUAAAGCACUUUCAGUGAGGAAGAACGCCUGGUGGUUAAUACCCAUCAGGAAAGACAUCACUCACAGAAGAAGCACCGGCUAACUCCGUGCCAGCAGCCGCAGUAAUACGGAGGGUGCGAGCGUUAAUCGGAAUUACUGGGCGUAAAGCGCGCGUAGGUGGCUUGAUAAGCCGGUUGUGAAAGCCCCGGGCUCAACCUGGGAACGGCAUCCGGAACUGUCAAGCUAGAGUGCAGGAGAGGAAGGUAGAAUUCCCGGUGUAGCGGUGAAAUGCGUAGAGAUCGGGAGGAAUACCAGUGGCGAAGGCGGCCUUCUGGACUGACACUGACACUGAGGUGCGAAAGCGUGGGUAGCAAACAGGAUUAGAUACCCUAGUAGUC